AGUGAACGCUGGCGGUAGGCCUAACACAUGCAAGUCGAACGGCAGCACAGUAAGAGCUUGCUCUUACGGGUGGCGAGUGGCGGACGGGUGAGGAAUACAUCGUAAUCUACUUUUUCGUGGGGGAUAACGUAGGGAAACUUACGCUAAUACCGCAUACGACCUACGGGUGAAAGCAGUGGAUCUUCGGACCUUGCGCGAUUGAAUGAGCCGAUGUCGGAUUAGCUAGUUGGCUGGGUAAAGGCCCACCAAGGCGACGAUCCGUAGCUGGUGUGAGAGGAUGAUCAGCCACACUGGAACUGAGACACGGUCCAGACUACUAAGGGAGGCACCAGUGGGGAAUAGUGGACAAUGGGCGCAAGCCUGAUCCAGCCAUCCCGCGUGGGUGAAGAAGGCCUUCGGGUUGUAAAGCCGUUUUGUUGGGAAAGAAAAGCAGCAGGUUAAUACCACGCUGUUCUGACGGUACCCAAAGAAUAAGCACCGGCUAACUUCGUG
Molecule: ribosomal RNA, 492 nt
Filed under: uncultured bacterium
Lineage: Bacteria
Description: partial 16S ribosomal RNA
Rfam family: Bacterial small subunit ribosomal RNA
Source: RNAcentral